UGGGGAAUAUUGCACAAUGGGCGAAAGCCUGAUGCAGCGACGCCGCGUGAGGGAUGACGGCCUUCGGGUUGUAAACCUCUUUCAGCUCCGACGAAGCGCAAGUGACGGUAGGAGCAGAAGAAGCGCCGGCCAACUACGUGCCAGCAGCCGCGGUAAGACGUAGGGCGCGAGCGUUGUCCGGAUUUAUUGGGCGUAAAGAGCUCGUAGGCGGCUUGUCGCGUCGACUGUGAAAACCCGCAGCUUAACUGUGGGCCUGCAGUCGAUACGGGCAGGCUAGAGUUCGGUAGGGGAGACUGGAAUUCCUGGUGUAGCGGUGAAAUGCGCAGAUAUCAGGAGGAACACCGAUGGCGAAGGCAGGUCUCUGGGCAUUAACUGACGCUGAGGAGCGAAAGCAUGGGGAGCGAAC
This 406-nucleotide ribosomal RNA is filed under the name uncultured bacterium. RNAcentral describes it as "bacterial SSU rRNA". It matches the Rfam family "Bacterial small subunit ribosomal RNA", at positions 355 to 773 of the family's 1533-position model. The record is from RNAcentral.